Schistocerca cancellata (South American locust) is the source of this 427-nucleotide long non-coding RNA. RefSeq lists it as uncharacterized. The transcript has 3 exons. The record is from RefSeq and is a predicted model, not a curated record. NCBI's taxonomy places the organism in Eukaryota, Metazoa, Arthropoda, Insecta, Orthoptera, Acrididae.
ACUUGCCCGACGUGGUGUGCGGACCGGCUCGACACCAGCUUGCGAAGGAACUAUAAACAACGCCCGAUUUAGCGUAUACUGUACUUAAGCAGCUGCAGAAAGCCACCUUCCGGCUAAGGAGCUAAAGCCAAUGAGAUCACACGCAAAGAAAUGGUGCAGCGUCGCUGACGACUGGGGAGUAAACGGCAUCUUCAGGACGACCGCUUCAGGAUGGCCCUCUAUCGGCCCGGUGUCCAGCAGGAAGGCGCCUGCAGGGUGGCCGAAAGAGGCCGACACGUGGGGGUCCACGUGGCCACAGUUUCUGGCAGCGGCCGUAGUGAACCUGAACACAUUCGGCCUGGGGACGCACGUGGCGUGGACGGCGAUGGCGCUGCCGCAGCUGAUGUCUGCAGAGAGCGGCCUCCGCGCCCAGCCGCUGACGUCGGAC